AACGAACGCUGGCGGCAUGCCUAACACAUGCAAGUCGAACGAGACCUUCGGGUCUUGUGGCGCACGGGUGCGUAACGCGUGGGAACCUGCCCUUAGGUUCGGAAUACCUCCCCGAAAGGGGUGAUAAUACCGGAUAAUGUCUUCGGACCAAAGAUUUAUCGCAUUUGGAUGGGCCCGCGUUGGAUUAGCUAGUUGGUAGGGUAAAAGCCUACCAAGGGGACGAUCCAUAGCUGGGCUGAGAGGAUGAUCAGCCACACUGGGACUGAGACACGGCCCAGACUCCUACGGGAGGCAGCAGUGGGGAAUAUUGGACAAUGGGCGAAAGCCUGAUCCAGCAAGGCCGCGUGAGUGAUGAAGGCCUUAGGGUUGUAAAGCUCUUUUACCCGGGAUGAUAAUGACAGUACCGGGAGAAUAAGCCCCGGCUAACUCCGUG
This 433-nucleotide ribosomal RNA is filed under the name uncultured bacterium. RNAcentral describes it as "partial 16S ribosomal RNA". It matches the Rfam family "Bacterial small subunit ribosomal RNA", at positions 29 to 507 of the family's 1533-position model. The record is from RNAcentral.